RNAcentral lists this ribosomal RNA (485 nucleotides) under uncultured bacterium. RNAcentral's name for it is "bacterial LSU rRNA". It matches the Rfam family "Bacterial large subunit ribosomal RNA", at positions 682 to 1163 of the family's 2925-position model. The record is from RNAcentral.
UCUGAAAAGGGCGCAAGUCAGCUGCUGUAGACGCGAAACUUAGUGAUCUACCCAUGGCCAGGUUGAAGCUCCGGUGACACGGGGUGGAGGACCGAACCAAUUAACGUUGAAAAGUUACUGGAUGAGUUGUGGGUAGGGGUGAAAGGCUAAUCAAACUGAGAGAUAGCUCGUACUCUCCGAAAUGUCUUUAGGGACAGCCUCGGAAUAGAGUAUCUGCGAGGUAGAGCUACCGAUAGAGCUAGGGGGUUUCAUCGCCUGCCAAACUCUGACGAACUCCGAAUGCGCAGAUAUAUGUCCGGGAGUGAGGGCUGGGGUGCUAAGGUCACAGUCCGAGAGGGGAACAACCCAGACCGUCUGCUAAGGUCCCGAAAUGUAUGACUAAGUUGGAGAAACGCGGUCAGGCCGCAGAGACAGCCAGGAUGUUAGCUUGGAAGCAGCUAUUCAUUUAAAGAGUGCGUAACAGCUCACUGGUCGAGCGACCGGCA